RNAcentral lists this ribosomal RNA (551 nucleotides) under uncultured bacterium. RNAcentral's name for it is "bacterial SSU rRNA". It matches the Rfam family "Bacterial small subunit ribosomal RNA", at positions 355 to 916 of the family's 1533-position model. The record is from RNAcentral.
UGGGGAAUAUUGCACAAUGGGCGGAAGCCUGAUGCAGCAACGCCGCGUGCGGGAUGACGGCCUUCGGGUUGUAAACCGCUUUCGCCUGUGACGAAGCGUGAGUGACGGUAAUGGGUAAAGAAGCACCGGCUAACUACGUGCCAGCAGCCGCGGUGAUACGUAGGGUGCGAGCGUUGUCCGGAUUUAUUGGGCGUAAAGGGCUCGUAGGUGGUUGAUCGCGUCGGAAGUGUAAUCUUGGGGCUUAACCCUGAGCGUGCUUUCGAUACGGGUUGACUUGAGGAAGGUAGGGGAAAAUGGAAUUCCUGGUGGAGCGGUGGAAUGCGCAGAUAUCAGGAGGAACACCAGUGGCGAAGGCGGUUCUCUGGGCCUUUCCUGACGCUGAGGAGCGAAAGCGUGGGGAGCGAACAGGCUUAGAUACCCUGGUAGUCCACGCUGUAAACGGUGGGUACUAGGUGUGGGGUCCAUUCCACGGGUUCCGUGCCGUAGCUAACGCUUUAAGUACCCCGCCUGGGGAGUACGGCCGCAAGGCUAAAACUCAAAUGAAUUGACGG